This 253-nucleotide ribosomal RNA is filed under the name uncultured bacterium. RNAcentral describes it as "partial 16S ribosomal RNA". It matches the Rfam family "Bacterial small subunit ribosomal RNA", at positions 524 to 776 of the family's 1533-position model. The record is from RNAcentral.
UACGGGGGGGGCAAGCGUUGUUCGGAAUUACUGGGCGUAAAGGGCGCGUAGGCGGUGCUCUAAGUCGGAUGUGAAAACUCUGGGCUCAACCCAGAGCCUGCAUCCGAAACUGGAGUGCUAGAGUUCUGGAGGGGGUAGCGGAAUUCCUGGUGUAGCGGUGAAAUGCGUAGAUAUCAGGAGGAACACCGGUGGCGAAGGCGGCUACCUGGACAGAAACUGACGCUGAGGCGCGAAGGCUAGGGGAGCAAACAGG